Molecule: ribosomal RNA, 441 nt
Filed under: uncultured bacterium
Lineage: Bacteria
Description: partial 16S ribosomal RNA
Rfam family: Bacterial small subunit ribosomal RNA
Source: RNAcentral
CCUACGGGCGGCAGCAGUGGGGAAUAUUGCACAAUGGGGGAAACCCUGAUGCAGCGACGCCGCGUGAGUGAAGAAGUAUUUCGGUAUGUAAAGCUCUAUCAGCAGGGAAGAAGAAAGACGGUACCUGACUAUUGAGCCCCGGCUAACUACGUGCCAGCAGCCGCGGCAAUCCGUAGGGGGCAAGCGUUAUUCGGACUUACUGGGCGGAAAGUGACCGUAAACGGCUGUGCAAGUCUGAAGUGAAACCCCAGGGCUCAACCCUGGGACUGCUUUGGAGACUGGGGAGCUAGAGUGUUAGAGAGGUAAGUGGAAUUCCUAGUGUAGCGGUGAAAUGCGUAGAUAUUAGGAGGAACACCAGUGGCGAAGGCGGCUUACUGGACAUUAACUGACGUUGAGGCUCGAAAGCGUGGGGAGCAAACAGGAUUAGAUACCCGAGUAGUC